AUUGAACGCUGGCGGCAGGCCUAACACAUGCAAGUCGAGCGGUAGAGAGGUGCUUGCAUCUCUUGAGAGCGGCGGACGGGUGAGUAAUGCCUAGGAAUCUGCCUAGUGGUGGGGGAUAACGUUCGGAAACGGACGCUAAUACCGCAUACGUCCUACGGGAGAAAGCGGGGGAUCUUCGGACCUCGCGCCAUUAGAUGAGCCUAGGUCGGAUUAGCUAGUUGGUGAGGUAAUGGCUCACCAAGGCGACGAUCCGUAACUGGUCUGAGAGGAUGAUCAGUCACACUGGAACUGAGACACGGUCCAGACUCCUACGGGAGGCAGCAGUGGGAAUAUUGGACAAU
RNAcentral lists this ribosomal RNA (341 nucleotides) under uncultured bacterium. RNAcentral's name for it is "bacterial SSU rRNA". It matches the Rfam family "Bacterial small subunit ribosomal RNA", at positions 30 to 372 of the family's 1533-position model. The record is from RNAcentral.